RNAcentral lists this ribosomal RNA (1167 nucleotides) under Triticum aestivum (bread wheat). RNAcentral's name for it is "partial small subunit ribosomal RNA". Lineage: Eukaryota; Viridiplantae; Streptophyta; Magnoliopsida; Poales; Poaceae. The record is from RNAcentral.
AUGGAGGCGCCAUGGGCUGGCCGGGACUCGGCGCCAUGGUCCGUUCGGCGCAUCGGCGGCGGCGCGAUGCUCGACGAGUCACGACGACUCGUCGUAACCCUGGAGGCGGAGGUCGCCGGCCUCUCCAUCCCACACCUCCGUGGCUUCCUCGCCGGCGCCUCCUCGGCCGUCCUCAUCGUCGACUUCUUCUGCAGCAUCGUGCUCGACGUCGCCGCGGAGCUCGGCGUCCCAGGGUACUAUUUCUUCACGUCCGCCGCCGAGGCGCUGGCCUCCAACCUGUAUCUCCCAGACCUGCAUGCCCGGAGCGCCGCCAACUUUCGGGAAAUGGGAGAGGAGCUCGUGCACGUGCCGGGGAUCCCCGCGCUUCCGGCAACGCACUUCCCCAAGCCGCUCACGGACCAUGACGACGCGGCAUACAUAUGGUCCCUCAGAGUGUCCCCCAACCUCUGCCGCUCCAAGGGCAUCAUCGUCAACACCUUCCGCUCGCCCGAGCCACGCGCGGUGGACGCCAUCGCCGCCGGGCUCUGCACGCCUCCCGGCCUCCCGACUCCCCCCGUCUACUGCAUCAGGCCGCUCAUAAAGUCAGAGGAUGUGGGCGUGAAGCGCAGCCACAAGUGCCUGGCAUGGCUGGACACGCAGCCGACGGCCAGCGUGGUGUCCCUCUGCUUCGGCAGCCUCGGCGUGUUCAACGCAGAGCAGAUCAGGCAGGGCUUCCUGGACCGGACCAAGGGGACGGGCCUCGUCGUCAAGUCACGGGCGCCGCAGCGCGACGUGCUGGUGCAUGGCGCGGUGGACGGUUUCAUGACGCACUGCGGAUGGAACUCCGUGCUCGAGGCGGUCAUCGCCGGCGUGGCCAUGCUGGCCUGGCCGUUGUACGCGGAGCAACGGAUGAACAGAGUGUUCCUAGAAGAGGAGCUGGGUCUGGCCGUUGCGGUGGAUGGAUAUGACAAGGAGGUGGUGGAAGCCGACGAAGUGACGGCAAAGGUGAGGUGGUUGAUGGACUCCGACGGCGGGAGGGUGCUCCGGGAGCGGACGACGGCGGCUAUGCGACGGGCCAAAGAGGCGUUGGGCGAGGAUGGGGAGUCUAAUUUGACGUUGUGUCGACUGGUGCAGGGCUGGAUGCUUGGAGACAUGGGAGAGGACGCGGGUUCCGCGGAGAAGAGAUAG